Molecule: long non-coding RNA, 1353 nt
Organism: Ictalurus punctatus (channel catfish)
Lineage: Eukaryota; Metazoa; Chordata; Actinopteri; Siluriformes; Ictaluridae
Source: Ensembl
AAAACAACAGUUAGUGACAUCACCAACAACCUUCACAAGGCAGGGGUGAAGGUAUCAUAAGCCACCAUUUGAAGAAGAUUUCAAGUGUAUAAAUGUAUAGGCCAUACAAUAAGAUGCAAACCUCUCAUCAGCAGUAAGAACCAGAAAGCCAGAUAUGAUUUUGCAAAGAAAUACAGAGAUGAGCCAUUAAAGUUCUGGAACCAAAAUUAACCUCUUCCAAAGUGAUGGAGAAAGAAAGGAUCUGCUCAUGAUCUAAAACGUGCAAGCACAUCAGUCAAGCAUGGUGGAGAUAGUGUCAUGGCUUCUCUUUGCAUGGCUGCUUCUGGAAUGGGCUCACUAAUCUUUAUUGAUGAUGGUAGCAGAAGAAUGAGUUGAGGAAUCUAAAACUCUGUCUUCCAAUUUACAGAGAAAUGCAUCCAACCUAAUUGGGAGGAACUUCAUCAUGCAGCAAGAACAUACUCAAAACACACUGCCAACACAACAAAGGACUUCAUCAGGGGGUAAAAGUGGAAGAUUUUAGACUGACCAAGUCAGUCACCAGACCUCAAACCAGUUGAGCAGCAUUUCACCUCCUGAAGAUGAGAUUGAAGAGAGAAACCCCUCUAAAACAAACAAAAUCUGCAGUGCAAGCCUGGAAAAGCAACACAAUGUGUGUGUGUGUGUGUGUGUGUGUGUGUGUGUGUGUGUGUGUGUGUGUGUGUGUGUGUGUGUGUGUGUGUGAGAGAGAGAGAGAGAGUGUAGCCAAUCUACCCACCAGCAUGUUUUGGGAAGUAGGAGGAAACUGGAGCACACAGUGGAAACCCACAUAGACAUGGGGAGAAAAUGAGAAGCUCCACACAUUGUAACCAGAGAUCAGGAUGAAACCUGGGAUGCUGGAGCUGUGAGGUGACCGUGAGGUGACAACGCUGCCUGCUCACCACCAUGUUGCUCCUUUUAAAAAAUUUAAUAUACAAACUGGGAGCUAUAUACCAAUUAUAAUGUGCAAUUCCACAUUCACUUCCUAACAGAGUCUGAUGCUUGUGUUGUGUACUGAAGAACAAAGUGAUUCUGGCUUUAAGUUCCCACACAGGAAGUGACUGUAGCAAGGACGGAGUCAUUCUGUGUGCAUGUUGAGAAAAACAUCUGCCUACCCAAGUCAGUCUGAAGUCAUCAACAGGAUGGGGCUUGGCAAGUUUCCAAGCUGGUAAAAGCAGAGCCACAGAAUGAUGGUGUAACAGGUGACUGCUUGACUGCCUCACAAUAUGAUUGACGUCAUUCAUGGUAAUCUGGGGAAGCUUAUGUGAACAAAGCAAGCAGGAGCUGAAUGUGCCAAUCUCCAGCAAGUGCUGAUCCUUCGCUAUGAUUGAGUCAUUG